UGGGGAAUUUUGCGCAAUGGGCGAAAGCCUGACGCAGCGACGCCGCGUGUGCGAUGAAGGCCUUUGGGUCGUAAAGCACUGUCGAUCGGGACGAAAACUCGCGUGAUAAUACCACGCGGAUUUGACGGUACCGGUAAAGGAAGCACCGGCCAACUCUGUGCCAGCAGCCGCGGUAAUACAGAGGGUGCGAACGUUGCUCGGAAUGAUUGGGCGUAAAGCGCGUGUAGGCGGUUUGUUAUGCCGGUUGUGAAAGCCCGAGGCUCAACCUCGGAAGUGCAGUCGGAACUGACAGACUCGAGUGCCGGAGAGGAUGGCGGAAUGCCCAGUGUAGAGGUGAAAUUCGUAGAUAUUGGGUAGAACACCGGUGGCGAAGGCGGCCAUCUGGACGGUUACUGACGCUGAAAUGCGAAAGCGUGGGGAGCAAACAGG
Molecule: ribosomal RNA, 429 nt
Filed under: uncultured bacterium
Lineage: Bacteria
Description: bacterial SSU rRNA
Rfam family: Bacterial small subunit ribosomal RNA
Source: RNAcentral